This 507-nucleotide ribosomal RNA is filed under the name uncultured bacterium. RNAcentral describes it as "partial 16S ribosomal RNA". It matches the Rfam family "Bacterial small subunit ribosomal RNA", at positions 28 to 507 of the family's 1533-position model. The record is from RNAcentral.
GACGAACGCUGGCGGCGUGCCUAAUACAUGCAAGUCGAACGCAUUUUCCUUCACCGUAGCUUGCUCCACCGAGACAAAAUGGUGAGCGACCCGGUGAGUAACACGUCUUUAACCUGCCCAACCUCGGGGGAUAACACUCGAAAACAGGUGCUAAUACCGCAUAAUUCCAUUUACUGCAUGGUAGAUGGGUGAAAGGCGCUUUUCCCGCACUGUUUGAUGGUCCCGCGGUGGAUUUGGUAGGUGGAGGGGUAACGGCCUACCAAGGCUGCGAUGCAUAGCCGACCUGAGAUGGUGAGCGGCCACACUGGGACUGAGACACGGCCCAGACGCCUACGGGAAGGAGCAGUAGUGAAUCGUGGGCAAUGGACGCAAGUCUGAGCGAGCAAGGCCGCGUGCGUGAAGAGGAUUGUCGGAUCGGAGAACUCGGUUGUUAGAAAAGAACAAGGAUGAGAGUGGAAAGUUCAGCCCUUGACGGUAUCUAGUCAGAAAGCCACGGCUAACUACGUG